GAACAGGUGAACAAAAGAAAAGGUUUAAGGAUAUACUCAAAGCCUUCUUGAAGAAAUGCAAUAUUCAAAGGGAUUCCAGUGAAUUUCUCCCCAUGGCUGCUCAAAAGUCCUCCUGAACAUGUAAGAUAAUGUGGAACAAAAGGCCAAUGCUGCUGGCAGAAAGCUAUCAUAGGAAAGAGGCAUGACUGGGGUACUGAUUUGCAACAGGGGACACAUCGCGCAGCAUCCACCCAAAUGAGAUUUCCAGCAUUAUCAGACUCUCUUGUGUUUAUGCUCAGCUCUGUUCUCCAUAAGCAUGAAAGCUCUCUCACUCAAAAUUCUGUUGGUCUUGAAUAUUAUUGAUGAAUCAGCCGCCUCAUUUCUCUGUGCUAGAGGAUCCAGAGAUUCAUGUCCCACUGC
Mobula hypostoma (lesser devil ray) is the source of this 399-nucleotide long non-coding RNA. RefSeq lists it as uncharacterized. The record is from RefSeq and is a predicted model, not a curated record. The transcript is spliced from 3 exons. NCBI's taxonomy places the organism in Eukaryota, Metazoa, Chordata, Chondrichthyes, Myliobatiformes, Myliobatidae.